CUUUGAAAGUAUCAUCGAUGGUUCUUGUGCUUCAUGUUCGUCUGCGGUAACCUGCCACGUGACGCAUUUACUUGGUUUACGAAUGUGCUUCGUGGUAGAUAAUCCGAAGAAAUGUAUAUUCACACCUCAUUCCUGGUAUAUUGAAGCACAAGAUUACGAUUAGCCCAAGCAGAGACGAUGGUGCUACCAGAAAAUGCAAUUGAACUGUUGUAAGUGACAAAGCCAUAUUAUGAAGAUUCCUGUCCAAAAUCGAAGAAAAUGAGGUUUUCCACUUUGGGUUCUACCAUCACAUUAGCUUGUCAUUUGGAAUCAAAGUUUCGUCAGGGAAAAAAGUUGACUGUGAGCUAAUACUUCCCUGAACUAGUCUCUAACCGAGCAGUAG
This is a long non-coding RNA of Daphnia carinata, 382 nucleotides long. RefSeq lists it as uncharacterized. The record is from RefSeq and is a predicted model, not a curated record. The transcript has 3 exons. Lineage: Eukaryota; Metazoa; Arthropoda; Branchiopoda; Diplostraca; Daphniidae.